RNAcentral lists this small RNA (713 nucleotides) under Pan troglodytes (chimpanzee). RNAcentral's name for it is "processed transcript". The record is from RNAcentral. Lineage: Eukaryota; Metazoa; Chordata; Mammalia; Primates; Hominidae.
GAGAUAUGAGACCUUCAAAGGUGGCACAUGGAAAAGACAACCGAGGAGAGAAAGACAGCCUGGUGUGGGGUACACAGUGGGUGCCUCAUUCAUGUUGCUGAGUGGAUGGAUGUCAGGAAGAAGUGAGACAUAUGGCAGGGACAGUAAACUGUUUGUAUUUUUGGCAUUCUGGAUCCUCUUUCUCUACAAUCGAGAUCUCAUUUACCCCAAGGUCCUAGAUACUGUCAUCCCAGUGUGGCUGAAUCAUGCAAUGCACACUUUCAUAUUCCCCAUCACAUUGGCUGAAGUCGUCCUCAGGCCUCACUCCUAUCCAUCAAAGAAGACAGGACUCACCUUGCUGGCUGCUGCCAGCAUUGCUUACAUCAGCCGCAUCCUAUGGCUCUACUUUGAGACGGGUACCUGGGUGUAUCCUGUGUUUGCCAAACUCAGCCCCUUGGGUCUAGCAGCUUUCUUCUCUCUCAGCUACGUCUUCAUCGCCAGCAUCUACCUACUUGGAGAGAAGCUCAACCACUGGAAAUGGGGUGACAAGAGGCAGCCACGGAAGAAGAGGAAGUAAUUGCACACCAUUUUCCAAGAACCAAGAAAGAAGAAAACACAAGAGAUUUUUCUCAUCUUUUUUUUUUUUUUCUGGUGGAGGGAGGUGGUGGAGGAACAUAGCAAAGUAGGAGGGACAGAGAUUGAUACUUAAAUUUAAUAAGAGGUUCGUGAAGGUA